RNAcentral lists this unclassified non-coding RNA (290 nucleotides) under Glomus sp. RNAcentral's name for it is "partial contains 5.8S ribosomal RNA and internal transcribed spacer 2". Lineage: Eukaryota; Fungi; Glomeromycota; Glomeromycetes; Glomerales; Glomeraceae. The record is from RNAcentral.
GUGAAUCAUCAAAUUUUUGAACGCAAAUUGCACUCUCUUCGGAGAUGAUGGCUGUUUGAGGGUCAGCCUAAAAAAAAUCGACAUCGUUGCUGUUUCGCGGUGGCGGUCGUCGGAAAUUGUGUUAGCUUAAAUCUUUGGUUUAAGCGACUUAAAAUUUUCUUUACGAUUCCAUGAACGUUUCCAAGCUUUAUUUCUUUACACGUUCAAGGUAGCGAUUUUAUUAGGCGUGGUCGUCAUAUCGGAUCUUGACCAUAAUUUUUCGUGAACUGACCUCAGACAGGUAAGAUAAC